Anolis carolinensis (green anole) is the source of this 790-nucleotide long non-coding RNA. RefSeq lists it as uncharacterized. The record is from RefSeq and is a predicted model, not a curated record. Lineage: Eukaryota; Metazoa; Chordata; Lepidosauria; Squamata; Anolidae. The transcript has 2 exons.
AAGAUAGGAAUGGUUAAGGGAGGGGGGGAGGGAGAACAAGAAGAGGGCUACAUCUUGCCAUGUGUAACUGGGCUGCCUGUGUGAAUCACUGUGAAAUACUAGAGCUUCAUUCCAUUCGUGAUGACUAAAUGGCUCUGCAAUGCUAGACAUUUUGUCUGUCCAGUGCCCAGUGGGACAGCUGUCUGCAGAUACCGCGCUGUAUCGUAACUGACUUUCACAUGAGCCAGAGACACCAGGAAAAGGACAAGUGACCCAAUGCCGUUCUCAGCGUAUCAUCAUCUUUGAUACCAUUGACCUACAACUCCCAUCAUCUCUUGCUGUUGGCGUUCAAUACAGCUGAUGAGCACAACACUCAGAGGUCCACAAGUAAUCCAACCCCUGAACUGGUUCACACUACAGAAGUAUGGCACUAUGAUUCUACUUUGUUUCCAUCCAAUGAAAUCCUGGAAUUUACAGUUCAUAAAGGCACAUUUGAAAUUCUCAGCCAGAGAGAUCUAGUAUCCCCCAACUAUAAACAUCAGCAUACAAUAGGAUGGAACCAUAGCAGUUAAAGUAGAAUAAUAAUGUAGUGAGAAAGGCUCACCUUGCCGAGACUCGAGGAACUGUUUUGCUUGGAGCCUCCAUAGAUGGAAAGAGAAGAAAAAACUAAUGGACAUGAAUCACCUCUUACUCCUAAAGAAAAGCUCACUUUCUCAUGUUCAAAAGAAGCUGGUAUUUUGAUAUUUAUUUAUGCAGGUGUACAUCUUCUCUCAGCAAAUGUAAUUUCUAAUAAAAAGCUAAUUUUAUUUUA